CCUCCAACGGCCGAGGGUUAGCUCAGAGCCACCUGAGUCGUCAGCCCUAACACCAACAGCCAUGAGCGCGGACAUUUAGGGGGAACGUACCUGGAGAUGGUUCCCGCGAGCAUCUUCCCAGCAUCCCCAUCAACACCCUCCCCCCGCCAGGCGGCUGAGUCUAAGUAUCAAAAAUGGGCCUGUCUUGCUUGACGGGAUGAAUAAUAGCUCCCCAAAGACGUCCAUGUCCUAACCCUCAGAACCCGUGUCUGCAUCAUCUUACGGGACAGGAGGGGCCCUGCAGCUCCACAAAAGAGGGAGUCAGAGCCUGGAGGCGACAGACAGGUGGCGCAUGUGAUCGGGCUGUCCGUCCCCGAGGAGGAGAAGGGGUCCACUCAUCCCCAGGACCUGCGGUCUGGCGGGCGGAUGGAGGGUCCAGACACCUCCUUCCACCAGGACCACUGUGGACUGAACGUACUGAAUGUUCGCGUCCCCCCAGAAUUCAGAGGUUGAAACGCCAGCGCCCGAGGGGAUGGCAGCAGGAGGCGGGGCUUCAGGAGGUGCUUAGGUCCCGAGGGGGGAGCCUCUGUUGGGAUCAGUGCUUGUAGAAGAAGAGGCCGUGGGAGCUUGCUCCUCUCUCCUCUCUCCACAACAUGAGGACCCACUAGGAGCUACAAGGAAGAGGGCCGGGAACCCGACCACGCUGGCACCCUGAUCUGGGACGUGCAGCCAGCAGGACCACAAGAG
RNAcentral lists this long non-coding RNA (726 nucleotides) under Equus caballus (horse). RNAcentral describes it as "lncRNA (ENSECAG00000050041.1)". Lineage: Eukaryota; Metazoa; Chordata; Mammalia; Perissodactyla; Equidae. The record is from RNAcentral.